Non-coding RNA from Planctomycetes bacterium GWF2_41_51, 74 nucleotides. The record is from Rfam. NCBI's taxonomy places the organism in Bacteria, Pseudomonadati, Planctomycetota.
GGCGGCGUAGCCAAGUGGCCCAAGGCGAUGGUUUGCAAAACCAUUAUCCGUGGGUUCGAAUCCCACCGCCGCCU